This 481-nucleotide ribosomal RNA is filed under the name uncultured bacterium. RNAcentral's name for it is "partial 16S ribosomal RNA". It matches the Rfam family "Bacterial small subunit ribosomal RNA", at positions 29 to 507 of the family's 1533-position model. The record is from RNAcentral.
AUGAACGCUAGCGGCAGGCCUAAUACAUGCAAGUCGAACGAGAUUAAGAGGCUUGCUUCUUAUGAAAGUGGCGCACGGGUGCGUAACGCGUAUGCAACCUACCUUAAUCAGGGGGAUAGCCCGAAGAAAUUCGGAUUAAGACCGCAUAAAAACACAGGAUAGCAUUAUCCAAUGUUCAAAUAUUUAUAGGAUUAAGAUGGGCAUGCGUGUCAUUAGCUAGUUGGCGGGGUAACGGCCCACCAAGGCGACGAUGACUAGGGGAUCUGAGAGGAUGACCCCCCACACUGGUACUGAGACACGGACCAGACUCCUACGGGAGGCAGCAGUAAGGAAUAUUGGUCAAUGGAGGGAACUCUGAACCAGCCAUGCCGCGUGCAGGAAGACAGCCCUCUGGGUCGUAAACUGCUUUUAUUCGGGAAUAAACCUUUCUACGUGUAGGAAGCUGAAUGUACCGAAGGAAUAAGGAUCGGCUAACUCCGUG